AAAGGAAUAGACGGGAGCCCGCACAAGCAGUGGAGUAUGUGGUUUAAUUCGACGCAACGCGAAGAACCUUACCGGAGCUUGACAUCCUAAGAAGUCGGCUGUAAUGGCUGAUGUGCCCUUCGGGGAGCUUAGAGACAGGUGGUGCAUGGUUGUCGUCAGCUCGUGUCGUGAGAUGUUGGGUUAAGUCCCGCAACGAGCGCAACCCUUACGGUUAAUUGCUACGCAAGAGCACUUUAGCCGGACUGCCGUUGACAAAACGGAGGAAGGUGGGGAUGACGUCAAAUCAUCAUGCCCCUUACGUUCCGGGCUACACACGUACUACAAUGGCGCAAACAAAGGGAAGCGAAGCCGCGAGGUGAAGCAAAUCCCAUAAAAGGCGUCCCAGUUCGGACUGCAGGCUGCAACUCGCCUGCACGAAGUCGGAAUUGCUAGUAAUCGCGGAUCAGCAUGCCGCGGUGAAUACGUUCCCGGGCUUUGUACACACCGCCCGU
This 491-nucleotide ribosomal RNA is filed under the name uncultured bacterium. Its description in RNAcentral is "bacterial SSU rRNA". It matches the Rfam family "Bacterial small subunit ribosomal RNA", at positions 903 to 1397 of the family's 1533-position model. The record is from RNAcentral.